This 568-nucleotide ribosomal RNA is filed under the name uncultured archaeon. RNAcentral describes it as "bacterial SSU rRNA". It matches the Rfam family "Archaeal small subunit ribosomal RNA", at positions 326 to 900 of the family's 1478-position model. The record is from RNAcentral.
CGGGGUGCAGCAGGCGCGAAAACUUUACAAUGCUGGAAACAGCGAUAAGGGGACCUCGAGUGCCAGGUUACAAAUCUGGCUGUCGUGAUGCCUAAAAAGCAUUGCAUAGCAAGGGCCGGGCAAGACCGGUGCCAGCCGCCGCGGUAACACCGGCGGCUCGAGUGGUAACCGUUAUUAUUGGGUCUAAAGGGUCUGUAGCCGGCCGGAUAAGUCUCUUGGGAAAUCCAGCAGCUCAACUGUUGGGCUUUCAGGAGAUACUGUCUGGCUCGAGGCCGGGAGAGGUGAGAGGUACUUCAGGGGUAGGGGUGAAAUCUUGUAAUCCUUGAAGGACCACCAGUGGCGAAGGCGUCUCACCAGAACGGACCUGACGGCAAGGGACGAAAGCUAGGGGCACGAACCGGAUUAGAUACCCGGGUAGUCCUAGCCGUAAACGAUACUCGCUAGGUGUCGGCCACGGUGCGACCGUUGUCGGUGCCGUAGGGAAGCCGUGAAGCGAGCCACCUGGGAAGUACGGCCGCAAGGCUGAAACUUAAAGGAAUUGGCGGGGGAGCACAAGGGCGAAUCGCGG